This 772-nucleotide long non-coding RNA is filed under the name Lathyrus oleraceus (garden pea). RNAcentral's name for it is "Pisum sativum (pea) long non-coding RNA (PSAT_LNC038009)". The record is from RNAcentral. Lineage: Eukaryota; Viridiplantae; Streptophyta; Magnoliopsida; Fabales; Fabaceae.
UCGUUGCAUUGCUAUGGAGGCGAAGGUUAUACGAGUUGAACGUUUUGAUGGUGGCUGUCAAAGAUUGUGCAUAGAGGAAGUGAGUUUAUUAUGGAGAUGAUAGCUGUUGAGUUGAUUGUUUUAGAUCGGAGGGAGUAUCGACGGUUGUUGGAGGAUUUGGUGUGGGUCGUGCCGGUGAAGUUUAUCGGAAAGGUGAAGGUUGUCGGAAGAGAAAGUUAGUGGAUCAGAGGUUGGGCUCGUGUGGUGGCUUCGCAAUUUGGACGGAAAUGCGAAAGAGAAGAGUGUUGUCGGUUGGAUGCGGUGUUGUGACGGCGGUAGAACCUCGCCGGAGGGCGAUUCGCACAGUGGUCGGAGUUAGUUAAGAGGUUGAAGAAAGGGGUUUUGAUGGCGAGGUAGAUGAACGGAGGGAAGCCGUCGAGGGAGGUGUUUCGUGGUUGAAGGUGGUUUGAACAAGGUGGAUGAAGGUUAUGGUGGAAGGCGGUGUUGAUGGACGGUGAAGGAUGAGGGAAUGAAGGUUUUUCUGUGAGGGAGAAAAGAGAGAAAUGUGAGUGAUGAGUGUUUGUGUGGAGGUGCGUUGGAGAUGAAGAGGAAAAAUCCUCUUCUUGUUUUCUUUCUUUUUUCGUUUUUUGUACAGAGAGAGUGAGUGAGUAUGUGGUAAACGUGAGGGAGAGUGAGAGAAAGUCGUUUUUUAUUUACUCCUUUUUGUUUUUUUUAUAUAUUACUAUUAUUAUUAAUUCAUUCUUCUAUUGGUGAAUAGAGAUGCACAUGGAUA